AGAACGAACGCUGGCGGCGCGCUUAACACAUGCAAGUCGAACGAGAAGCUGUAGCAAUACAGUUGUAAAGUGGCAAACGGGUGAGUAAUGCGUGGGUAAUCUACCCUAGGGUGGGGAAUAACUCCUCGAAAGGGGAGCUAAUGCCGACAUGUGCAACACUUUCGCAAGUGAGUGUUGGAAAGCCGUACCGUGGGUGCGGCGCCCAAGGAUGAGCUCACGUCCUAUCAGCUUGUUGGCGGGGUAACGGCCCACCAAGGCUGCGACGGGUAGCUGGUCUGAGAGGACGACCAGCCACACUGGCACUGCGACACGGGCCAGACUCCUACGGGAGGCAGCAGGUGAGGAAUAUUGCGCAAUGGAACGAAAGUCUGACGCAGCGACGCCGCGGUGGGGGAUGAAGGCCGUUCGGGUUCGUAAACCCCGUUUCGAAGGAGGAAGAGUGGCUCGUCGUAAGAGAGCGGACGGUACCUCGAGAAGCAGCCACGGCUAACUCUGUCGCCAGCACG
RNAcentral lists this ribosomal RNA (506 nucleotides) under uncultured soil bacterium. RNAcentral describes it as "bacterial SSU rRNA". It matches the Rfam family "Bacterial small subunit ribosomal RNA", at positions 26 to 515 of the family's 1533-position model. The record is from RNAcentral.